AGAGCUUGAUCUUGGCUCAGGAUGAACGCUGGCGGCGUGCUUAACACAUGCAAGUCGAACGGGUUUUUAUUAUCAAAGCUUCGGCCUAGAUGAUAAAAACUAGUGGCAAACGGGUGAGUAAUGCAUAGGCAACCUACCUUUAAGACUGGGAUAACUCUCCGAAAGGGGUGCUAAUACCGGAUAUUUUCUAGAAAACGCCUGUUUUUUAGAGGAAAGAUUUAUCGCUUAAAGAGGGGCUUAUGUCUGAUUAGCUUGUUGGUGGGGUAAAGGCCUACCAAGGCAGUAAUCAGUAGCUGGUCUGAGAGGACGAUCAGCCACACUGGGACUGAGAUACGGCCCAGACUCCUACGGGAGGCAGCAGUGGGGAAUAUUGCGCAAUGGGGGCAACCCUGACGCAGCAACGCCGCGUGAAUGAUGAAGUCUUUCGGGAUGUAAAGUUCUGUCAAAAGGCAAGAUAAUGACUACCUUUAGAGGAAGCUCCUGCUAACUACGUGCCAGCAGCCGCGGUAAUACGUAGGGAGCAAGCGUUAUCCGGAUUUACUGGGCAUAAAGCGCGUGUAGGUGGUUUCUUAAGUUAGAUGUUAAAUUCCUUGGCUUAACCGAGGUUCGCAUUUAAAACUGGGAGGCUAGAGGUCAGGAGAGGGAAGCGGAACUCAUGGUGUAGCGGUGAAAUGCGUAGAUAUCAUGAGGAACACCAGUGGCGAAGGCGGCUUCCUGGACUGAUGCUGACAUUGAGACGCGAAAGCGUGGGGAGCAAACAGGAUUAGAUACCCUGGUAGUCCACGCUGUAAACUGUGUUCACUAGGUGUAGAAGGUAUCGACCCCUUCUGUGCCAAAGAUAAUUCGUUAAGUGAACCGCCUGAGUAGUACGACCGCAAGGUUAAAACUUAAAAGAAUUGACGGGGGCCCGCACAAGCAGUGGAGCAUGUGGUUUAAUUCGACGAUACACGAAGAACCUUACCAGGGCUUGACAUAUUUUGGAAUCUUUUAGAGAUAAGAGAGUGCCAGCAAUGGAACCAUUUUACCGGUGGUGCAUGGCUGUCGUCAGCUCGUGUCGUGAGAUGUUGGGUUAAGUCCCGCAACGAGCGCAACCCUCGUCUUGUGUUGCCAGCACGUUAUGGUGGGAACUCACAAGAGACUGCCUGUGGAAAGCAGGAGGAAGGUGAGGAUGAGGUCAAGUCAUCAUGCUCCUUACGCCCUGGGCUACACACAUGCUACAAUGGUUAGUACAAAGGGUCGCGAAGCCGCGAGGUGGAGCUAAUCCCAUAAAACUAGCCUCAGUUCAGAUUGUAGUCUGCAACUCGACUACAUGAAGUUGGAAUUGCUAGUAAACGCAGAUCAGCUAUGCUGCGUUGAAUACGUUCCCGGGCCUUGUACACACCGCCCGUCACACCAUGAGAGUCAGAAAUAUCCGAAGCCAACGUACCAACCCGCAAGGGAGGUAGUUGUCGAAGGUAGAAUUGGCGAUUGGGGUGAAGUCGAAACAAGGUA
Molecule: ribosomal RNA, 1491 nt
Filed under: metagenome
Description: bacterial SSU rRNA
Rfam family: Bacterial small subunit ribosomal RNA
Source: RNAcentral